UCGGAAACGGACGCUAAUACCGCAUACGUCCUACGGGAGAAAGCAGGGGACCUUCGGGCCUUGCGCUAUCAGAUGAGCCUAGGUCGGAUUAGCUAGUUGGUGAGGUAAUGGCUCACCAAGGCGACGAUCCGUAACUGGUCUGAGAGGAUGAUCAGUCACACUGGAACUGAGACACGGUCCAGACUCCUACGGGAGGCAGCAGUGGGGAAUAUUGGACAAUGGGCGAAAGCCUGAUCCAGCCAUGCCGCGUGUGUGAAGAAGGUCUUCGGAUUGUAAAGCACUUUAAGUUGGGAGGAAGGGCAUUAACCUAAUACGUUAGUGUUUUGACGUUACCGACAGAAUAAGCACCGGCUAACUCUGUGCCAGCAGCCGCGGUAAUACAGAGGGUGCAAGCGUUAAUCGGAAUUACUGGGCGUAAAGCGCGCGUAGGUGGUUCGUUAAGUUGGAUGUGAAAUCCCCGGGCUCAACCUGGGAACUGCAUUCAAAACUGUCGAGCUAGA
Molecule: ribosomal RNA, 500 nt
Filed under: Pseudomonas sp. MRT0214
Lineage: Bacteria; Pseudomonadati; Pseudomonadota; Gammaproteobacteria; Pseudomonadales; Pseudomonadaceae
Description: bacterial SSU rRNA
Rfam family: Bacterial small subunit ribosomal RNA
Source: RNAcentral